GACGAACGCUGACGGCGUGCUUAACACAUGCAAGUCGAAGGGAGUGGCGAACGGGUGAGUAACUCGUGAGUAACCUGCUCUUUUCUUUGUGAUAAGACUGGGAAACUGGGUCUAAUACUGGAUGGUAUGGGAUGGGCUCGCGGCUUCUCAGCUUGUUGGUGGGGGGAUGGCGUACCAAGGCUUGGACGGGUAGCCGGGCUGAGAGGGUGGGCGGUACCAGUGGGACUGAGAUGCGGCCUGUACUAGUCAGGGGGGCAGCAGUGGGGGAUAUUGAAGAAUGGAUGCACGGCUGAUGCAGCGACGUUGGGUGGGGGAUGAAGGCUGUGGGGUUGUAAACUCCUUGCGGCCGCGGAAUGGUAGUGGGAGAAGAAGCGCCGGCUAACUACGUGCCAGCAGCCGCGGUAAUAC
RNAcentral lists this ribosomal RNA (408 nucleotides) under uncultured bacterium. RNAcentral describes it as "partial 16S ribosomal RNA". It matches the Rfam family "Bacterial small subunit ribosomal RNA", at positions 28 to 526 of the family's 1533-position model. The record is from RNAcentral.